RNAcentral lists this transfer RNA (85 nucleotides) under Winogradskya consettensis. RNAcentral describes it as "Actinoplanes consettensis tRNA-Leu". It matches the Rfam family "tRNA". Rfam says of the family: Transfer RNA (tRNA) molecules are approximately 80 nucleotides in length. Their secondary structure includes four short double-helical elements and three loops (D, anti-codon, and T loops). Lineage: Bacteria; Bacillati; Actinomycetota; Actinomycetes; Micromonosporales; Micromonosporaceae. The record is from RNAcentral.
GCGGAAGUGGCGGAAUAGGUAGACGCCCAGGUCUUAGGAACCUGUGCUUGCAAAAGCGUGCGGGUUCGAGUCCCGCCUUCCGCAC